Molecule: long non-coding RNA, 3809 nt
Filed under: Podarcis lilfordi (Lilford's wall lizard)
Lineage: Eukaryota; Metazoa; Chordata; Lepidosauria; Squamata; Lacertidae
Rfam family: tRNA (bases 1326-1383)
Source: RNAcentral
CAGUGAGCUUCAUGGCCCAGUUCAAGAUUUGAUCCCUUGCCUCCCAAGUCCCUAGUCCAGCAUUCUAACCACUACACCACAUUGACGGUCUCUCAGUGCAAAGAAGGAGGUGAAGUGCUAUUGAGGCUUUCAAGGGCUCUGUGCCUCUAGUAAAGUGCUUCUUGCUUGCACUUUUAUUGCUUCCUGAAGAGUAUAGGAGCAAGAUGAACGAGCAACAGCAGCUCUCCAUUGCCUCACAGCUCCAUUUUUCUCCCCAGUAUUUCAUUUGUAAAAAGUUAAAUGGUGAAGGGGGAUGAGAGGAAAUUAAAACCUACACACACAAACACCCAGCAGCAACAGAAACUGACACUGGGACAAAAUCAGCAGGAAAAUUAGUACCCAAAUAAACUGGACUGAAUCUUUUACUUUAACAUUGGCAGGAGACUUGACUGAGCCGCUCCUCCCUGUCACUUCCACCCCCAGGAUGAUGCCCCCGCAUGAUGUCCCGGGUCCAGAGGUAAGAAUGUUGGCCGGUUUGUACUGGGAGUUGUAGCCCAAAUCAUCUGGAGACUAAGGGAGGCUGCCCUAAGUUAUGCAAGCAUUGAACUUAGCAAACUAUAAUACGAGAUUGCCUCAACAUUUAUCACCUAGGAUUUAAAAGCUGGCUUUCGAAUCGCAUUCCCAAAGGCUCGUUGGAAAGGCUUCAGCAUGGAAAUGUCUUGCAUUGUUAUUUUUUUGCCAUUUUCUUCCUCCCUUUGGCUGUCAGUUUUGUUUCCACCCAGACAGGCAUGAUACAAGGAGGCAAAAAAAGUCGAGUUCCUUCCCUGCCAGAAUCCUGGUAUUCCGGGAAUCCUGUCCAGCAACCCCGAGCUCAUUUGUCGAUAACGCCAAGCUGGUUCAAAGGCUCCUGGCAAGCAGAGUGCAUUAAGCCACAAUGACAGGAAAGGGGCCCUCAGCAUCCGCUAGGAAGUCUUAAGUUAUUUUGGUGGGAGCGGCAGGCGCAGCCCAGGGAGGGAAGGGUCUAUUUCUCCUCUAGUGUGAGCAAUGGAAGGCGUGCUCCCACUUACUUUCUGCAGCGUUCCCACUCUGUAGGGCGAGUGGGCAACUGGUUGAUUUAUUCAGAGAGUUGCACACACACAUCCCUCUUUAGCCUUUGGGUAAUGCAGUGCUGAUUUGCUGAUUUAUUUAAUUUCUAUCCCAACCUCUUUCUCUAAGGAGCUCAAGGUGGUGUAUGUGGUUGUCCCCCUCCCCAUUUAAUCCCCACACAGCAACAACCCUGUUAGAUAGGUUAGGCUGAGAGAAGCAGAGACUGGCCCAAAGUCUUCCAGUCAGCUUCGUGGAUGGGAUAGCUCAGUCAAUAGAGCAUCAGACUCCUGAUCUCAAGGUCAUGGGUUUGAGCCCCUUAUAGGAGAACAGGUUCCCAUAUUGCAGGGAAUCAAUUCUAUGAUUCUAUGGCCAAGUGGGGCCUCUGAGCCCCGGUCUCUCCCAGGUCCUACUCUAACCACUGCACCACAAUGGCUUUCUAUCCAUUAAAGCAAAUGGAGCCUUGCCCCACCAACCUCAGCCAAAACCCCACCUGCCUGCCUUCUUACUUAUUGUUAUAAUUAAACUCUUUCAACAUAUAACAUCAUACAAGCCAGCGUUUAGACAAUAAGUGUAAAAUAACAUCCGAAUAAACUAAUGUUCUUAUCCCAGACUACUAAGGAAGGCGAUAAACAGUUUAUGUGAACCCAAAAGUUUUAUAAUGCGAGUCCUCUGUUUUCUUUUUUAGCCAUAAAACUGUUCCGAUCGGCUACAAAAAGAGUAUUUGUGCUUUAAACCUUGUGCCAAUUUUAUUUUAUUAUUGUUUUCCCACAAGUGCAAUUUGGCCGUAUUUUUGUUGCACCAAUUUGUCAGAGAAGCCCCAUUUAAGUUUUUCCAGGAUCCUGUCAUUAUAAGCCUGCCUGUUAGCAGAAGAGAAUUUAUUUGAGGUUUGAGUUGCAGGUUAAUAUGGUUUCUGGUGAAAGAGUUUAGGUGCAACAGCUCUGGACAUUUAGAAACAUUGUGUCGCGUAAUUGCUUUUAUGUGGACAAAUACUUCCUCCCAGAAUAAUCAGUUUGGGGAGUGGCCUUGCCUGCCAGCUUCCUCCUCCUCCUUAGUCUCAAGUGUUGCCCUUGUAGAACUCAAGGAUGGGGGCAAAACCAGAAUUAGUUGAGUCCUCCUGUCGUUGACUCUGGCGCCACCUACUGUUGGGCUCCUUGCCUUCUGUCCUGUCAAUGGACAUCAGCUACCACUAACAGAUCUUGUAGGUUUUUAUCUUGUUUCAAAAACCUGUUUCACUAGAGGGGAGGAGAGGGGCAGAAAAAAAUGCAUGUGCAGACAGCAUAAGAAGGGAAGCUUCCCUCAAAUCACUCCACCUAUUUGGCCCCUUUAGCGGCACGCAAAACAUUAAUGAGAACCGCUGCUAGAUCUCUCUUUCCUGCAGUAAAGAAGUGAAAAGAGAUUCUGCAAGUUUAAUCCUAGCUGCACUGUUUUUCUCUUUCCCGUUUUAACUCAUUUUAUGUUAGAUUUUUUUUUGCAUUUUGUUGUUUGUUCGUUUAUUUAUCUAUACAAUUUAUAUAGUGCUUACCUACAAUAGUCUCUAAGCGGUUUACAUGAUAAAUAAGUUUUACAUGAUAAAUAAAUAAAAUAAUCAAUUAAAUAAAUAAGGUAAGAUAAGAAUCAAUUAAAACUAUAAAAUCAAACAUUAAUUAUUCGGUAGGCAUCGGAAGCUCAAUAGGAAGGCAGCCUGCCUGAUAUCAGCUGGAAGGAGGUUACGUAUAAUUAAUGGACCUAUGAAUGUGCAUUAGAGAAGAACAGUCUUGGUCAACUUGGCACCCUCCAGGUGUUCUGAACUACAACUCCCAUCAGCCCAGAGUUGUACAGAACAUCAGGAGGCCACAAGGUUGGGGAAGGAUGUGGAAGAACCUAAGAAGUUAGUUGCUGGAUCAGGCCAGUGGCCCACAUAGUUCAGCACCCUGUUCUCAUAGUGGACAAGCAGAUGCUGCAAUGGGAAGCCUAUAAGCAGACCCUGAGGGUGCAACAGCACUGAGUAUCUUAUUUUUCCUUCUUUUGAUAAUUUCAAUGUGGGUAGGUGACAAGAAACUUUCCCCACCGGGUACCAGCUGACCUUGCUAUGCCACUGGCAGUGCUUUCCCCACUUGAUUGACUCCCCGAGGGAGCUUAAGACAGUGAUGCCACUUAUCAGGUGCUAAGGUUAUAUGUUUAUAGGGAAGUGAAGGCCUGACCACCUUUUUCUUUGCCUAUUCCCAUUUUACAGAUGGUAAAAGAAGGUCCGAGACUAGCUACCUAACCAAGCGCACAGGCAGACUUCUUGGCAGAGCAGCGCUUGAAGCUGACCUCCCAAAUCCAAGCUGAACACGCUCUCAGUUUCAUUUUUGGUCUUACCCCAGAGGCACACACAGCGGGAACUGCUUUCCACAUGUCCCAAGGAGGAGGACUGUAUCCGCAAAUGCUUUCCCUGAGGCACAAUUUCAAGCUGAGAGCCGGAAAUGGCUGGGGCAGCUAAUUUUUCACCCUCUCCAUUUAAUUGCUGCAAGACAAGUAGAAGUUCAGGAAGUGAAGCAAGGGCUUUGAAUGAUUGGGAAAGCUUGGCCUGCUGCCAUUUGUCCACAGGGAAGGACUCUGGCUCAGUCACAGAGCACCUGCUAUGCAGGCAGAAGGUCGCAGGUUCAAUUCCCAGCAACAUCUCCAGGUAGCACUGGGGAAAUAAUUAUACUUGAAACUGUGGCAAGCCACUGCCUGUUGGAAUAGGUGUACCAGUGGUCUGGUUGGGUAUGGGAAACAGACAG